GGAGAGGUCGCAUAGCGGACUAGUGCAGCGGUUUUGAAAACCGCCAGGGGUGCAAGCUCCUCGUGGGUUCGAAUCCCACCCUCUCCG
Molecule: transfer RNA, 87 nt
Filed under: Candidatus Daviesbacteria bacterium RIFCSPHIGHO2_02_FULL_39_12
Lineage: Bacteria; Candidatus Daviesiibacteriota
Also listed under: 1 other name
Description: tRNA-Ser
Rfam family: tRNA
About the family: Transfer RNA (tRNA) molecules are approximately 80 nucleotides in length.
Source: RNAcentral